AUUAAUCUUCAGGGCAGGGUGAAAUUCCCGACCGGCGGUAGAGUCCGCGAGCGGUGCGAAGCAUUGCUGAACCGGUUAGAUUCCGGUACCGACAGUACAGUCUGGAUGGAAGAAGAUGAGC
Molecule: regulatory RNA element, 121 nt
Organism: Butyrivibrio sp. CAG:318
Lineage: Bacteria; Bacillati; Bacillota; Clostridia; Lachnospirales; Lachnospiraceae
Rfam family: FMN riboswitch aptamer (RFN element)
About the family: The RFN element is a highly conserved domain that is found frequently in the 5'-untranslated regions of prokaryotic mRNAs that encode for flavin mononucleotide (FMN) biosynthesis and transport proteins. This element is a metabolite-dependent riboswitch that directly binds FMN in the absence of proteins. In Bacillus subtilis, the riboswitch most likely controls gene expression by causing premature transcription termination within the 5' untranslated region of the ribDEAHT operon and precluding access to the ribosome-binding site of ypaA mRNA.
Source: Rfam